RNAcentral lists this ribosomal RNA (197 nucleotides) under Bacillus thuringiensis serovar vazensis. RNAcentral's name for it is "partial 16S ribosomal RNA". It matches the Rfam family "Bacterial small subunit ribosomal RNA", at positions 1 to 191 of the family's 1533-position model. Lineage: Bacteria; Bacillati; Bacillota; Bacilli; Caryophanales; Bacillaceae. The record is from RNAcentral.
UUUAUUGGAGAGUUUGAUCCUGGCUCAGGAUGAACGCUGGCGGCGUGCCUAAUACAUGCAAGUCGAGCGAAUGGAUUAAGAGCUUGCUCUUAUGAAGUUAGCGGCGGACGGGUGAGUAACACGUGGGUAACCUGCCCAUAAGACUGGGAUAACUCCGGGAAACCGGGGCUAAUACCGGAUAACAUUUUGAACCGCAU